UACGAAGGGGGCUAGCGUUGCUCGGAAUGACUGGGCGUAAAGGGCGCGUAGGCGGAUGGUACAGUCAGAUGUGAAAUUCCUGGGCUCAACCUGGGGGCUGCAUUUGAUACGUGCUGUCUUGAGUUCGGAAGAGGGUCGUGGAAUUCCCAGUGUAGAGGUGAAAUUCGUAGAUAUUGGGAAGAACACCAGUGGCGAAGGCGGCGACCUGGACGGACACUGACGCUGAGACGCGAAAGCGUGGGGAGCAAACAGG
Molecule: ribosomal RNA, 253 nt
Filed under: uncultured bacterium
Lineage: Bacteria
Description: partial 16S ribosomal RNA
Rfam family: Bacterial small subunit ribosomal RNA
Source: RNAcentral